Molecule: ribosomal RNA, 387 nt
Filed under: Staphylococcus aureus
Lineage: Bacteria; Bacillati; Bacillota; Bacilli; Caryophanales; Staphylococcaceae
Description: partial 23S ribosomal RNA
Rfam family: Bacterial large subunit ribosomal RNA
Source: RNAcentral
GAUUAAGUUAUUAAGGGCGCACGGUGGAUGCCUUGGCACUAGAAGCCGAUGAAGGACGUUACUAACGACGAUAUGCUUUGGGGAGCUGUAAGUAAGCUUUGAUCCAGAGAUUUCCGAAUGGGGAAACCCAGCAUGAGUUAUGUCAUGUUAUCGAUAUGUGAAUACAUAGCAUAUUAGAAGGCACACCCGGAGAACUGAAACAUCUUAGUACCCGGAGGAAGAGAAAGAAAAUUCGAUUCCCUUAGUAGCGGCGAGCGAAACGGGAAGAGCCCAAACCAACAAGCUUGCUUGUUGGGGUUGUAGGACACUCUAUACGGAGUUACAAAGGACGACAUUAGACGAAUCAUCUGGAAAGAUGAAUCAAAGAAGGUAAUAAUCCUGUAGUCG